This 253-nucleotide ribosomal RNA is filed under the name uncultured bacterium. RNAcentral's name for it is "partial 16S ribosomal RNA". It matches the Rfam family "Bacterial small subunit ribosomal RNA", at positions 524 to 776 of the family's 1533-position model. The record is from RNAcentral.
UACAGAGGUCCCAAGCGUUGUUCGGAUUCAUUGGGCGUAAAGGGUGUGUAGGUGGCGCCGUAAGUCGGGUGUGAAAUUUCGGAGCUUAACUCCGAAACUGCAUUCGAUACUGCGGUGCUUGAGGACUGGAGAGGAGACUGGAAUUCAUGGUGUAGCAGUGAAAUGCGUAGAGAUCAUGAGGAAGACCAGUGGCGAAGGCGGGUCUCUGGGCCGUAACUGACGCUGAGGAGCGAAAGCAUGGGGAGCAAACAGG